Molecule: ribosomal RNA, 466 nt
Filed under: uncultured bacterium
Lineage: Bacteria
Description: partial 16S ribosomal RNA
Rfam family: Bacterial small subunit ribosomal RNA
Source: RNAcentral
GACGAACGCUGGCGGCGUGCUUAACACAUGCAAGUCGAACGGAAAGGCCCUGCUUUUGUGGGGUGCUCGAGUGGCGAACGGGUGAGUAACACGUGAGUAACCUGCCCUUGACUUUGGGAUAACUUCAGGAAACUGGGGCUAAUACCGGAUAGGAGCUCCUGCUGCAUGGUGGGGGUUGGAAAGUUUCGGCGGUUGGGGAUGGACUCGCGGCUUAUCAGCUUGUUGGUGGGGUAGUGGCUUACCAAGGCUUUGACGGGUAGCCGGCCUGAGAGGGUGACCGGCCACAUUGGGACUGAGAUACGGCCCAGACUCCUACGGGAGGCAGCAGUGGGGAAUAGUGCACAAUGGGCGGAAGCCUGAUGCAGCAACGCCGCGUGCGGGAUGACGGCCUUCGGGGUGUAAACCGCUUUCGCCUGUGACGAAGCGUGAGUGACGGUAAUGGGUAAAGAAGCACCGGCUAACUACG